Molecule: ribosomal RNA, 307 nt
Filed under: uncultured eukaryote
Lineage: Eukaryota
Description: partial 18S ribosomal RNA
Rfam family: Eukaryotic small subunit ribosomal RNA
Source: RNAcentral
CCCUUAGACGUUCUGGGCCGCACGCGCGCUACACUGACGAAGGCAACGAGCUACUCUUCACCGAAAGGUGUGGGUAAUCUUUUGAAACUUCGUCGUGCUGGGGAUAGAUCCUUGCAAUUUUUGAUCUUAAACGAGGAAUUCCUAGUAAGCACAAGUCAUCAACUUGCGUUGAUUACGUCCCUGCCCUUUGUACACACCGCCCGUCGCUACUACCGAUUGAAUGGUUUAGUGAGGCCUUCGGAUCCGCGAUUUUAUUGUGGAGAAGUUGGACAAACUCAGUCAUUUAGAGGAAGUAAAAGUCGUAACA